GACGAACGCUGGCGGCGUGCUUAACACAUGCAAGUCGAACGGAAAGGCCCUGCUUUUGUGGGGUGCUCGAGGGGCGAACGGGUGAGUAACACGUGAGUAACCUGCCCUGGACUGUGGGAUAACUUCAGGAAACUGGGGCUAAUACCGGAGAGGAGCUGCUGCUGCAGGGGGGGGGUUGGAAAGUUUGGGCGGUUGUGGCUGGACGCCCGGCUUAUCAGCUUGUGGGGGGGGUAUUUGCUUACCAAGGCUUUGGCGGGUGGCCGGCCUGGGAGGGUGACCGGCGUCCUUGGGCCUGCGGUACGCCCCAGUCUCCUACGGGAGACAGCAGUGGGGAAUCUUGCACAAUGGGCGGACGCCUGACGCGGCAACGCCGCGUGCGGGAUGACGGCCUUCGGGUUGUAAACCGCUUUCGGCUGUGACGAAGCGUGAGUGACGGUAACGGGUAAAGAAGCACCGGCUAACUACGUG
This 468-nucleotide ribosomal RNA is filed under the name uncultured bacterium. RNAcentral describes it as "partial 16S ribosomal RNA". It matches the Rfam family "Bacterial small subunit ribosomal RNA", at positions 28 to 507 of the family's 1533-position model. The record is from RNAcentral.